UACGAAGGGGGCUAGCGUUGCUCGGAAUUACUGGGCGUAAAGCGCGCGCAGGCGGCCUCCUAAGUCCGAUGUGAAAGCCCACGGCUCAACCGUGGAGGGUCAUUGGAAACUGGGGGACUUGAGUGCAGGAGAGAAGAGUGGAAUUCCACGUGUAGCGGUGAAAUGCGUAGAGAUGUGGAGGAAUACCGAUGGCGAAGGCAGCCUCCUGGGCCAACACUGACGCUCAUGCACGAAAGCGUGGGGAGCAAACAGG
RNAcentral lists this ribosomal RNA (253 nucleotides) under uncultured bacterium. Its description in RNAcentral is "partial 16S ribosomal RNA". It matches the Rfam family "Bacterial small subunit ribosomal RNA", at positions 524 to 776 of the family's 1533-position model. The record is from RNAcentral.